Molecule: long non-coding RNA, 1277 nt
Filed under: Homo sapiens (human)
Lineage: Eukaryota; Metazoa; Chordata; Mammalia; Primates; Hominidae
Description: HSALNT0334386
Source: RNAcentral
CUGGUGAGUGGGGAGCAUGUCCUUGCAGGAUCAACUGUAUGGUUUUCUUGCUUAAAGGGGGGAGUUUUCAGCAGGCAGCAUGCUCUGCUCUUCUCUCUCCCCACUUUUCUUGCCUGCAACGUGGAUGUGAUGGCUGGAAGUCCAACAGCCGUUCUCUGAGCAAGAACGAGGAAGCCACGUUAGAGCUUGGGGUGAGGAACAUUUGGUGAGACAGUCAGAGAGGAUGGGGCUGGAGGCGGGCAUGCUGGGGCCUUCAAUGCCAGGCUGAGAAGGCUGGUUUGUGAGAAUUGGGAGCUUAUGCUAGGCUCCUGAGCAAGGACAGUGACAGGUGAAAAUGGCUUUGGGGAAGAGGAGCAAGUGGGUAUGGCAAACAUAGGGCAAGAUAAGGACUGCUGGGACCUCUGUCUGCCCCUGUGAGUACAGAGAAUGAAUCAGUGGCUCGGACUCACUGGGUUCAGACCAAGGAAAAAGGGAAGUGAGGCAGACACCCACAGACACUGGGCUAGACCCUUGCCUAUGCUAACUCUCACUCAGUCCUGGAAGCAGGCCUAUAAGGCAUCUUGGUAUAGCAACCUGGAAAUGGCAGCCUGGUGAGGAUGAGUCAUCGCGGGCUCACACAGUGGAGCGGAGGUCCCACCCGGCCAUCCUGAUGCCAACACACGUUCUCCCCAGUGAGCAGCUCGGCCUUCCAGGGCUCAAGAGGCCAGGGGUGAUGUCUGGAGGGGCAAGAAAUAGCCACACACUUUCCUAACCCCUCUUUCCUGCACUUAGAGCUCACAACAACGGCCAAUUCAACUAGCCACUGCCUCCCAAACACAUCAGCUGACACAUGUGCUCUAUCUAAAUGAUGCUCACUUGACAAACAAGGGCGUGGGGCUCAGAGAGGUCAAUGGCCUGUCUGGACCACACAGCGGCUGCAUGUGACAGGCUAAGCAGCGCUUCCACUGCAAGCCUGUCUGGUUCCCUUCACCACACUGUGUCCAUCCCCAGACUCUGGCUCCUGUAUUCCCGGACUCCACUUUCUCUAAUCCUGCGAUUAGUGAGGAGGGGGAAUUGGCAGUGUGGCUCAGAACAAGCUGCUCAGCGUGGAAACUUUCUCUGAGCAUCCCCAGGCCUGCCUCAUCCCCACUUCAUCUCCCUUUUAUAUCCCAGACCUCUCUCUCUCCAGGCCUGAGGCCUGGUGGAGAGGGCCUGUGGGCAGCUCUAGGGAGGGUCUUGCCCUGUAAGACAUGGAGGCGGCAGGCCCAGGCUGUACUCCUGGACUUCCCAUCCCUGGU